Molecule: ribosomal RNA, 306 nt
Filed under: Triticum aestivum (bread wheat)
Lineage: Eukaryota; Viridiplantae; Streptophyta; Magnoliopsida; Poales; Poaceae
Description: partial small subunit ribosomal RNA
Source: RNAcentral
AUGAGGAAGAGCACGUACGGAGCUCUAUUCUUCCUUGGUGGCAGCCUGAUAAGCUGGCAAUCAGCCAAGCAGCAAGUUGUGGCUGUAUCUUCCUGUGAAGCAGAGUAUGUCGCUGCAGCAACAUCGGCAACCCAAGCCAUUUGGCUAGCACGGUUGCUCGGCGAUCUGAAGGGUCAGGAAGCUGACACUGAGCAUGUCCGCACUGGCAUUCAGCAUGAACCCCGUUUUUCACGAGCAGAGCAAGCAUAUGGAUGUCCAGUAUCAUUUUUUCCACGAAUGCGUGGAGAUUGGGAGCAUCUCUACUGA